UUUUUUUAUUUGCUUGAUUUUUGUUUUCACAUGUGGCUGUUGUGAAACGUAGGGAAGGAUGAAAACUGAAGGAUGAAGAAAGAUGAUACAGAAGACUUCUUGAACAGCUUGAAACAAAAUAAAGCCCUAUCUUCAAACAUUUAGACAAGACCUGUUUAAAUGCUGCUGGUGUCCUCAGCCUUACUCUGUGGUCUUCAGCUUCACUCCCUUAAACUGCUGAGUUCAGAAAAUCUGUGAAGGGGACUAAGCUACUAUAUAGCCUUUCCUGCUGCUCAGUAAAGUGGUGUUCCUUGUCUUUUGUCUAGACACAGGAAUAGCUCAAGAGACUAAAUGGAAGCUGACUCAGAGAUUUGAACUGGAAUUGUCAGCCUUGGCAUUUCAUAAAGUAAGUGCAAUAUUACAUAUUCUUCUACCAUAU
Molecule: long non-coding RNA, 418 nt
Organism: Parus major (Great Tit)
Lineage: Eukaryota; Metazoa; Chordata; Aves; Passeriformes; Paridae
Source: Ensembl